Molecule: unclassified non-coding RNA, 508 nt
Filed under: Hevea brasiliensis (rubber tree)
Lineage: Eukaryota; Viridiplantae; Streptophyta; Magnoliopsida; Malpighiales; Euphorbiaceae
Source: RNAcentral
GUAGAUUUUCUUCAACUAUACUUGAUACAUCUAGAUUGUGUGCAACUCUUGAAGUGAUAUAGGGCCCUCCUAGGCAUGGAUUUAAUCAUGUUUGAAGUAAUGACCAAGGGUAAUGGAAACAAGCACGUAUCGGCCGUAAUGUGAUGAUAAUGUGACGUGCCCUAAGGUUACAAUUAAACAAACUUGUUAAAACUUGCACAAUAUGGAAGUAUGCUAUUCAGCCAACAAAGAGAACAAGCCAAAAGCAUGCACAAUUAUAACAAUAAGCACUCCUCAAGAUCAAAUACUUGCCUAAACAAAUCCAGCAAUUCAAAUCACACCAAAACAACUUAAAAAAAAAAUGAAAACAAUUAGAUCUAAGUAGCUUGAACAAUUCCCACGCCAAAAAGAACUUAUGGUGCGCCAAUUUGCAAACAACUCCAGAUCUGAAAAUCCCUUCAAACCACACACCAUUUUGGAUGCUUAAACUUGAAUAAACUUGAUCAGAUUUCAACCAACCAAAUCCCCG